UGGCCAGACUCCUACGGGAGGCAGCAGUGGGGAAUAUUGGGCAAUGGGCGAAAGCCUGACCCAGCAACGCCGCGUGAAGGAAGAAGGCUUUCGGGUUGUAAACUUCUUUUGACAGGGAAGAGCAGAAGACGGUACCUGUCGAAUAAGCCACGGCUAACUACGUGCCAGCAGCCGCGGUAAUACGUAGGUGGCAAGCGUUAUCCGGAUUCACUGGGUGUAAAGGGAGCGUAGACGGCCAUGCAAGCCAGGGGUGAAAGCCCGGGGCCCAACCCCGGGACUGCCCUUGGAACUGCAUGGCUGGAGUGCGGGAGGGGCAGGCGGAAUUCCUGGUGUAGCGGUGAAAUGCGUAGAUAUUAGGAGGAACACCAGUGGCGAAGGCGGCUUACUGGACAGUAACUGACGUUGAGGCUCGAAAGCGUGGGGAGCAAACAGGAUUAGAUACCCGCGUAC
RNAcentral lists this ribosomal RNA (450 nucleotides) under uncultured bacterium. RNAcentral describes it as "bacterial SSU rRNA". It matches the Rfam family "Bacterial small subunit ribosomal RNA", at positions 328 to 793 of the family's 1533-position model. The record is from RNAcentral.